AUACGGAAGGUCCGGGCGUUAUCCGGAUUUAUUGGGUUUAAAGGGAGCGCAGGCGGAGAUGCAAGCGUGACGUCAAAUUUCGGGGCUCAACCCCGUCUCGCGUCGCGAACUGCGUCCCUUGGUUGCGGGAAGGGGAGGCGGAACUCGUGGUGUAGCGGUGAAAUGCAUAGAUAUCACGAAGAACUCCGAUCGCGAUGGCAGCCUUCCGGCCCGUCAACGACGCUCAUGCUCGAAGGUGCGGGUAUCAAACAGGAUUAGAUACCCUGGUAGUCCGCACAGUAAACGAUGGACACCCGCGGUUUGGCCUGUAUGGCUGAGCCGCCAAGCGAAAGCGUUAAGUGUCCCACCUGGGGAGUACGCCGGCAACGGUGAAACUCAAAGGAAUUGACGGGG
RNAcentral lists this ribosomal RNA (393 nucleotides) under uncultured bacterium. RNAcentral's name for it is "partial 16S ribosomal RNA". It matches the Rfam family "Bacterial small subunit ribosomal RNA", at positions 523 to 918 of the family's 1533-position model. The record is from RNAcentral.